Non-coding RNA from Paragonimus heterotremus, 81 nucleotides. Lineage: Eukaryota; Metazoa; Platyhelminthes; Trematoda; Plagiorchiida; Troglotrematidae. The record is from the annotation of a GenBank genome assembly.
GGCUCCGUAGCUCAGCUGGUAGAGCGCUUGCAGCCUUUGGGCAUGCUGUCUCUGGCACUGGUUAGAACCCAGCCGAAGUCU